GGCCGAGCCAUNAAAAAAUCCACUCACACCCCCCAAGCGCCCGGGUAUUACGAGCUUCAGCUUAAAACCCAAAGGACUUGACGGUAUCCCACCUAACUAGAGGAGCCUGUUCUAUAACCGAUGAUCCACGAUACACCUAACCAUUUCUUGCUUUCAGCCUGUAUACCUCCGUCGUAAGCUUACUAUGUGAAUAUAUAAUAGUGAGCUAGAAGGCCACCACCAUAACGUCAGGUCAAGGUGCAGCUUACGAAAUGGAAGCAAUGGGCUACAAUUUCUAAUUUAGAAUAAACGAAAUACUAUAUGAAAUAUAGUCAUAAAGGAGGAUUUAGUAGUAAAUAAGAAAUAGAGAGCCUUAUUAAACUCGGCCCUGGGAUGUGUACAAACCGCCCGUCACCCUCUUCAAUAACCUUCAACAAAUUAAUUAUCUACCCUUGUAUACUAGAAGAGGCAAGUCGUAACAUGGUAAGUGUACUAGAAAGUAUACUUGGAACAA
RNAcentral lists this ribosomal RNA (493 nucleotides) under Raorchestes signatus (Boulenger's bubble-nest frog). RNAcentral's name for it is "partial 12S ribosomal RNA". It matches the Rfam family "Bacterial small subunit ribosomal RNA", at positions 793 to 1525 of the family's 1533-position model. Lineage: Eukaryota; Metazoa; Chordata; Amphibia; Anura; Rhacophoridae. The record is from RNAcentral.